Molecule: long non-coding RNA, 1917 nt
Organism: Mustela erminea (ermine)
Lineage: Eukaryota; Metazoa; Chordata; Mammalia; Carnivora; Mustelidae
Exons: 3
Source: RefSeq, a predicted model, not a curated record
AAAGGCACCGAGUAUUUUAUAAGCUCACAUGAAUCUAUUAGCCACAAAGGUCUCUGGCAACUAUGUGCCAACAGCUCUGGAGCUGUCUCCUGGACGCCAGGAAUCUGCCCAUUGAGAAGGCUGGUCAUUUACUGUAAAGAUGGUAUAUAUACCCAUUUCUCCACAUGACAUUCUAAAUAUUUUUUACUUGCUGGUUAGCAGUGAAGCCAUGUUAACUCCCUCAGUUUAUACACAAUAUCCUUGGUUCUCAGAAAAGUGAAAGGCAUUUUGCUGAACAGGUUUUUCAACUCUACUGUCCUCUAUAGCUUAUGACUGUAACUCGAGAGCUACACAGGCACACUCGGAAGAUGGCAAGGUCACUCUGGACUGAGGUAAUGGAAGAAGACUUCCCAGAAUCUGGGUGUGCCGAGGCAGAAAUCUGAGCAUCAGUACGAACGAGGUGGUGUGAGCACUAGCGAGAAGCACCAGGGAUGCUUCCGCAACAUUCAACAAAUAAUGAGACCACGUGAGAUGGAGAGAGUGUUCUCACAUGUGUCACUGGAAAAGGGACGGACAGUGGUCGCAGUGGACUGUUUUAGUGGUCUUCAUCGUGUAGUGGUACGCGAAUGAAUGGGAGAUGGGGUCACAGGAAGUGAAGAAACCGCGUGGAAGUUAGAGCAGCACGAGGUACAGUGUCAUGAGAGCCCAUAAGGAAGAUUCCUACUUUGAUGACUGCUUUUGGCCUUAACGAAACAUCCAAGGAGUCAGUAGCUCAAGAAGAGAAGUCGAACGAAAGUCAUCUAAAGCUCAAACAAAUUUAGGAAUGCCUGUGCUGUGAAGCUGACUGAGAGCUGAAGCAGAUUUAGAUCCAGUGACUGAAAAGGGCAGAAGGAGAAGAGAGUCUGGAAAACACUCUGAAGUCAUGUCACCGAGCUUCAUCUGCUUUCUUGUGGGAACACACUGUGAUGCUCUUCUGAAUCAGUGUCCCUGCCACGCUCCAAGCAGCCCGGCUGAGGCUGACCCCGCAGCCCAGGCCUGCCUCACUGCCAGGGUUCGGGUGAGCUGUUAAACUGAGUGUUCUUACUUGUAAGCCGGAAUAAUACACUGAAACAUGAAUGAAGGCAACUGCUAGCCCUCUGCUACUGAACAAAGCGGAAGAACACCAAAACACAGUAUCAUGUUGACUGGAACUGGAACCUCGACGCUGCUGGACACUCACUUGUCUCCAGUGAGUUUCCCGCGUCUUCAGUUCAGGGCUGGUUUUCAGGGCCACACCCUCCAGACCUCCCUUCUCUUCCCACCUCCUGCGUGCGGUCUGAUGCCUGCCUGCAAUUACGGCUCCGCAUUCUCCUUCCGCGAAACUGCAUCGCUGCCUCCUCUGACAAGCGUUUUCGGAUCCCUCCCGCCAUUGUGUGUACUGGGGUGUGGACAGGAGCCUGUAUAUUUCCGGAACCCUGGACUAUAAAGACCUUUUCGUACAGGUUUGCAAAUACUAUGUUGUCUUACCCAGCAGACUACAAACAUUUGGAGACAGGGACUCUACUCAUUUUCUGGAUCAAGAGUACCAAACACAAUUGUGACAUACAGUAAGUACUAGAUGUCUACUGCAUAGAGUAGCUUCUUAUCUGAACUUAAUUUACUCUAAGUAUGAUGUUUCCUAAUAACAACUUUUUGAAGUGGCAAAUGAGAUUUUUAUGUCAUAAACAUAACUGAUGGAAUUAUUUUAGAAUUGUGUAUUUUCUCUGUAACAUUAUUUUUACUCUGUUAAAAUGAAUUCUGCUAGUAUAGCAGCUAAUUCUUGAAUGUAAAAACUUCCUACUUAAAUAACCUUUACUCACGGAAACGGAACUUAAGGUAAGGUGUACGUUAAACAGAAUCUACAAGGUUUUUAAUUUUUGAAUGCUGUCUUCUUUCCAAAAUACAUGGAAUUUAGAAAUA